RNAcentral lists this microRNA (20 nucleotides) under Ciona intestinalis (vase tunicate). RNAcentral's name for it is "cin-miR-4009c-3p". Lineage: Eukaryota; Metazoa; Chordata; Ascidiacea; Phlebobranchia; Cionidae. The record is from miRBase by way of RNAcentral.
UAUUGCACUUUUACUGUACC